Osmerus eperlanus (European smelt) is the source of this 2294-nucleotide long non-coding RNA. RefSeq lists it as uncharacterized. NCBI's taxonomy places the organism in Eukaryota, Metazoa, Chordata, Actinopteri, Osmeriformes, Osmeridae. The transcript is spliced from 5 exons. The record is from RefSeq and is a predicted model, not a curated record.
UCAGCGUAGCCUACCAGAUUACUGCCCAUCCUGCCACUCACCUGCUGAUUCAAGAUUAAGCUGAUCCUGACUCUGCAUUACCUGGGCUCUUCUCCUCACAGGGGAGUCACUGCAGUGUUUCACCUGUACUGGUGCAACAUGCACAAAUCCACCAGUCAACUGCUCAUCAAACUCUGUAUGUCAGUCUACAACCAUUCAGUCUUCAACCGUGAAAGACCCAUUGGUAAGUAAGUCCUGUGUAGCGGCAUCCAAUUGCAUGACACCUCUGAACGUCACGACAACACAACUGUCCGUGAACCUGGGCUUCGAAAACUUUCGUCAAACUCGGCUGUAACCAAGACGGCUGCAACAACCAGACUCUACCCGAACCGGUUCCCAGUUCCAAUGGCCGAAAGUGUCCUUCCUGCAGGAAUGUGUUCGACACGGUGUGUAACACCCCUGUGGACUGUGUGGGAGUGGAGGAUAACUGCAUUAGCGUCAAUGUGACUGGUUCAAUAAACACUGUCCUGAAGGGCUGUGCAUCCUCAAGUCUGUGCAAUGCAUCUCUCAUAACCUCCUUCCUGCCAUCUGUCCUGCCAUCUGUCCUGCCUUCUAACCUAUUAUCAGCUGUAGGCUUUAAUGUAUCCUGUAACACAGCGCCCUCUACUGGUCCAGUAAAUAGCACAGCCCCCUCUACUGGUGCAGGAACUAACUUGUCUCCCUCUACUGGUCCAGUGAGUGUAGUCCUCAUGGCAAUGUGGCUUCCUAUGAUGGUCAAACUUACCUACUAAAAAACACAAACACACCAUCUUUAACAUGCAGAACAAAAACGUUUUGUGAUAUGAUUGUCAGAAGAUGCAAUUAUAAGCAUGACAAGUGUGUUUUACAUUUGGCUUUUAUACAAUGAAACAGAUUUUGAAAACAUUUCUACUAAUGUUUUUUCAAUUGUCUUGUGCUGCCACAAGUAAUGAAGGGAAAUAUGGUUAUUGCUGUAUCUGUAUUUUGUUAAUUAUAUUUUAUCAUUGAAAUUCGAUAUUAAUCUACUUUUUUUUUACUCUUCAUAUAGUUGAACAUUUCUAUUUCUAAUGGGAAAAUGUGUUAUGUAGUUAUUUAGGAACUGUUAAGGCAGGGUAGGCAAUGUUGAGAAACACUUCCAUAUUUGCUGAAAUAAACUUCACAUAUUGAUAGCAACCAAUACAUAUAAAGGUUUGAUAGGAACAUUAAAUCAAUAAGACAUCUGUGGGCAUCACAAGACUACCUACCCACCUGCGCACACUCUGCCCCUGCACUCAAAACUACUGUUGUUUUGUGGGAGUGGUUUUAACCCUUGUGUUAUCUUCGGGUCAUUCUGACCCAUCAGUCAUUGUGACCCACCGUCGUAUUGCGACAAAUUUACCUCAUACAAAAACAAAGUGAAGCAUUUUCUUUUAACUGUCGGGCUGUCUCAGACCCCCCACAUUGGAAUGGUUAAAAGAAAAUUAUUUUUAUUUGUUUUUGUAUUGGGUAAAAUUGGGUAAACACAACAAUGGUUCGUUAUGAACCUUUGGGUCAUGUGACCCGAAGGCAGCACGAGGGUUAAAGGGAGGGGGUGGGAUAUUUUGGGUUGAAUUGUGUCAAACAGAAGCUAAAAUAGCUAGCUUCGCAAAGCUUGCCUACCCUGCCUUUAACCCUUGUGUUAUCUUCGGGUCGUUCUGACCCAUCAGUCAUUGUGACCCACCGUCGUAUUGCGACAACUUUACCGCAUACAAAAACAAAGUGAAGCAUUUUCUUUUAACCGUUGGGCUGUCUCAGACCCCCCACAUUGCGAAGGUUAAAAGAAAAUUAUUUUUAUUUGUUUUUGUAUUGGGUAAAAUUGGGUAAACACAACGAUGGUUCGUUAUGAACCUUUGGGUCAUGUGACCCGAAGGCAGCACAAGGGUUAAGACAUGACUAUAUAAUGUUCAGUGAAAACCUGCAUGUUUCUGAUGGAUCCAGUUUGGGAUCCAUCCCCUGAAGAGGGAGUUUGAGCUCUUGCCUUCAGGAAGAAGGUAUAGAGCUCCCACCCACAGAACAAAACGAUUUGGGGACUCUUGUUUGUUUUACUAUUGGGAGGCUAAAUGUGCAUAAAUGAAUGGCAUGAAGUAUUUAUGGACGGAACUUAUUCUGGGUUUUCAAUAUUAAGUGAUCCUUGUACUGUAUUGUAAUUUAUUGUGUGUUGUCUUGUGUGGUGUCAGGUAUGCUGGUUAUGUAGUAUUUUAUGAUGGAUUGAAUGUGUUUUAAUACCUGUCUACAAACAAAUUUCCCCUAGUGGGAUCAAUAAAAUUGACUUGACUUUG